GAAUCUUAAAAGUUGCUUUCUUAAGAAUGGGGUGCAGAACCGCCAACCAAAGCAGAGGAGCUCAGCCUGGAAACAGUCAUCCAUAAGAUAGUUCCAAAGGCUUUGAAAAACCCGAGUCUGGACACCUAGAAAGCUUCCAAUGGCCAUACCACAAAGUGUUCCAUCAGCAAUCAGAUGGGGGACUGGAUCAGAAGGAGUGCUUGGCUGUGUGCUUAAAUAUCCACUAUGCUGCCCAGCGUUGGUGGUGCAUGCCUUUAAUCCCAGAACUCGGGAGGCAGAGGCAGGAGGAUCUCUGCGAGUUCGAGACCAGCCUGGUUUGCAAGAGCUAGUUACAGGAUGGCCUCCAAAGCCACAGAAAAACCCUGUCUCAAAAAACAAAACAAAACAAAAAUCCACUAUGCCAGGGUCACAUUUCCUGAGCUCCACUAUUUGUGUUUAA
Molecule: long non-coding RNA, 439 nt
Filed under: Cricetulus griseus (Chinese hamster)
Lineage: Eukaryota; Metazoa; Chordata; Mammalia; Rodentia; Cricetidae
Description: lncRNA (ENSCGRG00000024950.1)
Source: RNAcentral